Molecule: ribosomal RNA, 301 nt
Filed under: uncultured bacterium
Lineage: Bacteria
Description: partial 16S ribosomal RNA
Rfam family: Bacterial small subunit ribosomal RNA
Source: RNAcentral
CAGCAGCCGCGGGAAUACAGAGGGUGCGAGCGUUAAUCGGAUUUACUGGGCGUAAAGCGUGCGUAGGCGGCUUUUUAAGUCGGAUGUGAAAUCCCUGAGCUUAACUUAGGAAUUGCAUUCGAUACUGGGAAGCUAGAGUAUGGGAGAGGAUGGUAGAAUUCCAGGUGUAGCGGUGAAAUGCGUAGAGAUCUGGAGGAAUACCGAUGGCGAAGGCAGCCAUCUGGCCUAAUACUGACGCUGAGGUACGAAAGCAUGGGGAGCAAACAGGAUUAGAUACCCGAGUAGUCCCUGUCUCUUAUAU